Molecule: long non-coding RNA, 39538 nt
Organism: Conger conger (European conger)
Lineage: Eukaryota; Metazoa; Chordata; Actinopteri; Anguilliformes; Congridae
Exons: 14
Source: RefSeq, a predicted model, not a curated record
AUACUCGGGAGUGAAAUUUGAAAGCAUUUAAAUAAUAUGCACUGCCAGAUCAGCAGAUUCUGUUUCAUGCUAGCAUUGGCUUCAAUAGAAUUUUUUAAUUUUUAAUUUUUAAUUUUAAAAUACACUUAAAACACUACACCAGCAUCACAUUAUUCGUUUUUUUAACCAAUUCAUGUGUCUGGGUCUAGAGAUGUUCCUGUGGGAAAUGCUACAAACUAUUUUUAUACAGGGUUUUUGAUAUUAUAAGGCACCUCUAUUCCCUGGAUAAGAUCAUAUCCAAACAUGGAAUGGGAACGAACAUAGAGAAGUGCUGACGCAUGUUUUAUUAAAAUGAUGCGCUUGAUCCAAUAAUGUGGGUCUAUGAAGAUGAAAUACUGAUGCAGCUGCUCAGGGUAUUGCUAUUUGCCAGGAUGUGCUGUGACAUUUACUGUCGAGUUGGGUUUAAUGUGCCCACAGUAUUCCACCCCAGUGCUCCUUCAGCUCUGACUAUUGCUGCACAGUUCACUUUAGAAGGUUUAUCGAACAGAUGAAGUGUCAUUAGGAGGAGGGAGGGAUGCCAUUUAUAGUAUCAACAAUCAGUAUUCCACCCCAGUGCUCCUUCAGCUCUGACUAUUGCUGCACAGUUCACUUGAGAAGGUUUAUCGAACAGAUGAAGUGUCAUUAGGAGGAGGGAGGGAUGCCAUUUAUAGUAUCAACAAUCAGUAUUCCACCCCAGUGCUCCUUCAGCUCUGACUAUUGCUGCACAGUUCACUUCAGAAGGUUUAUUGAACAGAUGAAGUGUCAUUAGGAGGAGGAAGGGGUGCCAUUUAUAGUAUCAACAAUCGGGGUGUGCUCGGACAUUUACUGCAGAGUUGGGUUUGAUGUGCCUUCAAUAGUCAACUCCAGUGCUCUUCUAGCUCGUAUUGUAGUACAGCUCUCCUUCAAAGAUGUAUUGAAGAUUUAUUCAAAAGUAAGUAAAUCUUUACUUGAAACAGCCAAUUUUUUAAUAAUAAUAAGUAAUUGUGAUGCUUGAACCUGACAUCCAGCGGCUGAUUUUUAGAUUAAAUCUGAGUUUUUGAUCUCUUGUGGAAAUUGAAAAUAUAUAUAUAUAUUGUGUGUGUGUAUGUGUGUGUGUGUGUGUGUGUGUGUGUGUGUGUGUGAGAGAGAGUAAGGAAUAAACUGGGGUGAGCCCUGUGGUUCUCAUCAUAUGCACACAUCUGGGAUGAAGUUCCCAUCCCAACCAGAAGUCUGAUUGUACUGUAUUUGCUUAUCAAUAGACCAGAAAUUAAAUGUCUGUAGUCUCACAAAUCAUGUGCCAUGCACAUUUGUUGUAAAAUUUGGAACUGUGUUUGAAUAAGUAGGAAGAAGAGCUCUGAUGAUUUACUUGGUAUAAUAAUGUUACAGUAUAUACACACGGUUAUUUGACCACAGUCGAGUAUUCAUCGAACCCAUGAUAUAAGCAAAGGUAAAUGCACAGCGAUGCAGUAACUUGCCCCAAAGGGGUGAUUCUUCCCGAGGGGAACAGGAGGGUGCUUAUUGAAGCGCCUCACUCGCUGUACUUGCUUGCUUACAAACAUGUCUACUUGCCAACAAAAUUAACUAUCUGCCACAAAAUCAUAUAUAUAUCUAUGCAAUAGGAUUCCCUGGUGGAGCAGCCUUUUGGAACCUUUGCUUCUGAGAGUGCAGUAUAUCAUUUUAGGAAUAUAAUUCCAUUGAGAAUCCAUAGCAAUUUUAGUUUUUUUCUGUAAAAGUAUUUCAUUUGAAAUUUGUAAUCAGAUUUGCAGUGGUAUGAUAUUGAAGUUAACAAACAUUUUAAGUGGGUAUUCAGAAUGUGAUUAUUGAGGUCAAUUAGGGCUAGGUGAUUUUGGUCUUUCAGUCAUUUACUCCUUUAGUAUACCAUUCGUGCCGGUACUGUCAUAGAAUAAAAGCAUACCACAGAUGGCUAUAAAAUUGCUAUGACAUGUGAGCUGACUAAAUUAAGUAUUUAGCUUUUCCUGUUGUGUUCUUUGGACCACUAAUGUUAAUACACUAGUCUGUGGUUGUCUGGCAUAGUAUCAGACGUAAUAAAAAUCAAAAGAAAUCAAUGGAAAAAUUGAAUGCAUUGCUCAUGUUGAAAUGGACCUUUUUUCUCAGUUAAUUCAUGCUAGCAGCAGUGUAACAGAGACCCAAACCUCAGUGAACCUGGGGUAUGAUGCCAUACUGUCAGUUGCUCACACAGUUACACAUCAGUGGUCUAUUGAGUUUGCAAAAGAGACCAAAGAUAAAAGUCACUAAAAACGAGAUAGAUUGUCUGGAAAGUCAGAAUAGACAGAGUAAGUGUUCUAAUGAGAUCCCAAACAAGUUCUUUGAGUGAAAAAUACCAGAAAUGCGGAAUAGAUGCUCAACUUUAUUGAUUUACAGCUUAAAUGAGAACAUUUCACAAGACAUUUCACAUAUUGUAUGAGUGCUUGUUACUGCGUCUCAUCUGGGUUUCUUUCCUUAUUCUGCUUCUUUCACCUAAAAAAAAAAAAAAGAACAGUGCAUUUAGAACCUCAUAGUCAUCAUUUACAGACCCAGUUCAUUGGCAGUAGUUUUCAUACAGUAGGCUAUAUGGGUUUAAAUUAACCGAUUUUGAGUGGUAACCUACCUUGCCGACGUCACGGCUCUUGGCUCUCAGCUUGUUGACCUGGGACUCAGCGAUGUCGGCACGCUCCUGAGCUUCCUCCAUCUCAUGCUGCACCUUCCUGUACCUGGACAGGUGGGUGUUGGCUUGUUCCUCCUGUGAGUGAGCAAGACAUUUCACCAGUCAAAGUAUUGCAGAGUAAAUGUUUUCAUACAGCUGUCAGGUUUAGGUUAGGUCAAUUUUUUUACCUUUUUAAUUUAAUUGUCAAUCAUGCUACUAUUUUUCUGCUUUUAGUCUUGUGUACUUGUUGAACAGAUCACAUUAGCUUUCAGCAAGUAGCAAGGUUUAGAGCUACCAAUAAAACCCCCAACCAAACUAAGCAAAACAAGAUGGGACAGUUCAUAUUUUUCUAUGUGGUGCCUUAUCUACUACCUCAAUCAUUAUGCUGCUGUGGAGUGACAGUUUAGGGAGUUGUGUGACAAAGGUUUAUGGGCACAGCUCAUGAUAAUUGUGGAAUGAGGCAAAAGCCUUGUGGAAAUGAUCCCCUGGAUCUCGAGAGUAGAAAAAUCAGAGCGUGUGAAAGGAACAAUAAGAUUGAACAGCUAAUACUGAAUUCCAAACAUUGGUUCCUUGCACACAGUGCAGGAAAAAUAAUAAAUUGCCAAUGAAUCAGAAAUAACUGAACUACAUGUUCUCAACCCCUGCACUAAAAAUAGAACAUGUUUCAUCCAGCCAGUCUUGGAUGCUGUUAUAGCAUUGGCCCCAAGCAAGUUUGCACAUUUGACUUGACAAAACUCCCACUAGACUCAAUUGAAGGAUGUGAUAACUGUUCUUCCAAACACUUCACUUACAAACAUUAUUUCAGUUACAAAUGAUUUUUUUCUCUUGUAAUGAGACCUAAGGUAAGAUUCGCAAGUGCACCGCAGUGAAAGCAGUGCAGUGACCUUAUGCAUUAAUAAUUCAGGUUAGCAGUGCAAGUCCAACAUAGAUGCAGCAAUCUGAGAGCCUAUAUUUUACUAGUUGGUCAACAAAACAUUUUGUUAAGGUAGCUGGCUGCUUAACAGAUGCUAUCUGCAUCCCAUCUCAUGUCCCAUGUCUGUUCCCUCUGAUAUUUCUAAAAUAUAAGCUUUCAUCCCAUCUCAAAAAUACAUUCCCUCUGGUAUUGGAUAUUGAGCAUUUGACUUACGGAUUCCUCAGCCUGCCUCUUGUAGGACUUCACUUUGAGCUGCAGUUUGUCCACCAGGUCCUGCAGUCUGUGGACAUUCUUCUUGUCCUCCUCAGUCUGCAGAGGGUAAAGCAGGUUCAGAAGAGGUAGCAUGCCUGGUUGUUGUUUUGUCCACUGUUUUAGGUUAAGAUGUAUGAAACCAUACCUGGUAGGUGAGCUCCUUGACUCUCCUCUCAUAUUUACGGACACCUUUGACGGCUUCGGCUCCACGUCUCUGUUCAGCCUCAACUUCAGAUUCUAGCUCGCGCACCUUGAAUCCAAAAAUGUCAAAAUAAAUGUGUAACUAUAACUAUGUACAGAAUAGCCAGAACAUACUUGUGUUUUAAUCAUAUAUGCCACAUUGCAUUGGAUUUAAAAAAUGUUUUUAGUACACACAGGAGAUAACUGCAUUAUUGUCAUCUGACAAGUACAUUUUAAAAUAGGUACUUAUCUCUAUUUUCUAAAUCUGUAGGCUUAAAGCUUUUGACCUGAAGUAAUUCAUAAUUGCAUGUGAAUUAUGUUGUGUAACUUUGAUUCUCUUAAUGCUGUGCUUGCAAUUUCCAAAGUGAGCACUUUGAUUUGGAUGACUGAAGUUGCCGCUGGUAACUUACCCUUGCUUCCAGUUUCUGGAGCUGUUUCUUUCCACCCUUCAUGGCCAGAUUCUCAGCCUCAUCCAGACGGUGCUGCAGGUCCUUGACUGUAAUCUCCAGGUUCUUCUUCAUCCUCUCCAGAUGAGCGCUGGUGUCCUGCUCCUUCUUCAGCUCCUCUGCCAUCAUGGCGGCCUGCAGUUUUAUACAGUUUAGUCACAGGUUUUCUAUACAAAUCAUUUUCAACUUAAGGUCAAUGUUAUUUUUGGCAGCCAAAGCUCAUAGAUGGGUAGGUGUAGGCUAGUAGUACAGUUGUCCUGCACAGUUAUUGCUCCCUUAUGCAAAUCAAAUUUAAUGUAUUACCCCAUUAAAAAAACUAGCUAAUAUAAUACAGGUAAAACUGAUAUGAGUAGCACUCACAUCUGUGAUGGCCUUCUUGGCUUUCUCCUCAGCAUUUCUUGCUUCCUGGAUGGUGUCAUCAACUUCACCUUGGAUCUGGACAAGGUCAGCUUCCAGCUUCUUCUUGGUGUUGAUAAGGCUGGUGUUCUGGACACAAUGGGAUAUUUUUAGAUUGCCAUGUAAUUAUGGUGUAAUUCACCCUAUUGUCCGGUAAAAUGAGAAAGGAAUGAUCAAAUUAAAAUAAUAAAGUAAUGCCUUAUUGACUCACUUGGGAGUGCAGCAGUCCCACGCGCUCACUUGCAUCGAUCAGCUCCUGCUCGGCCACUUUGCGGCCCCUCUCUGUCUGUUCCAGAGCAACCCUCAGUUCUUCAAUCUCAGCCAGCAUCAGGUUGUUCCUGCGCUCCACCAUGGCAACCUGUUCCUUCAUGUCCUCCUGUCCUCUGAUCGCAUCAUCCAGGUGCAGUUGGGCAUCCUGACAGAGAUUAAUAAAGUUAAUUGUGUAUGAAAGCCUGAACAUGUUGGAGCUGAGCACAGGUAUUUUAGAAACAUACCUUGAGCUGUCCUUGGACAUUCCUCAGUUGCUUCUGGGCUUCAGCUGCCUGGCGGUUGGCAUGGCUCAGCUGAAUCUCCAUCUCAUUGAGGUCUCCCUCCAUCUUCUUCUUGAUUCUCAGGGCAUCAUUCCUGCUCCUCACCUCAGCAUCAAGGGUGGUCUGCAUAGACUCAAUCACCCUCUGGCUGUUCCUCUUGAUCUGCUCCAUCUCCUCAUCCUUCUCCGAUAACUUCCUGUCAAUUUCACCCUUGACCUGAUUGAGCUCCAGCUGUAUCCUGAGAAUCUUGGACUCCUCAUGCUCCAGUGCUCCCUAUGAAAUUGUGAGAAAAAAUGCGUUUUGCAGUAAUUGAGAAGCAAUUGAGAAAAUGUAUAAUAUUUGUUAAAAGGAUUCACAAGUAAGCAACAAACAUGAUCAAUUAUUGAAUUUUAUGAAACACUUUCAUUGCCCAAUAUGAAAUAAUAAUUCUCUAUUAUACAGACUUAAAAAAACAUUCCGAAAAAACAAAACAAAAUGUCAAAUGUAGCAAACCAGAAAAUAUAAAAUUGAAACUGAAGCUACAUUGCAUUACAUGUAUGAAAUUUGUUAGGGUGUGAUUACCUCUGCCUCUUCUAAGGCUGUCUGGAUUUCUGCUUUCUCACUCUCCGCAGUCUUCUUUGCCUUUUCCAGCUCAUGAAUGGUCUUUCCGCUCUCUCCAAUCUGUUCAGUCAGGUCGGAAAUCUCCUCUGGAAUGACAAUUGAAAACAAUUUAAUGAUUGUAGUAACUAUGGUUAUUGCAUGUAUUUACGAAGGUUGUGUUGAGUAUGAUUCUCAAAUGAAAUAUCACGUGCACAUACGCUGCAGAUUCUUGUUCUCUCUCUUCAGUGUCUCCAGUUGGUCCAGAGUCUCUUCAUAGGAGUUCUUCAUCUUGAAGAGCUCAGUGCUGAGAGAACGGGCCUCUUUCAGCGCUCCCUCCAACUCGGCCUGGCCUUCCUCAAACUUCUGUUUCCAUUCGGCCAGAACCUGAAUGAAAGACAAAACGCAGCCAUUAAUACCACUUCCAGCUGGCCUUCAUUUUGAACCUGAUAGUGACAUACAACACAGUUGUUAAUGAGCCCAGCUUUGGUUAGAUUUACCUUAUCGAAGUUCCUCUGUUUCUUGUCAAGGUUGGCAGCCAGGGCAUUUGCUCUCUCCACAUCAAUCAUGAGAUCCUCCACUUCACCCUGCAGCCUCUGCUUGGUCUUCUCCAGAGAGGCACACUUGGAGUUGACAGCCUCAAUGGACUCCUCUGCCUCCUGAAGACGCUGUGCAAGCUUCUUCCUGUAGAGAGUGGUAUUUCAUUUGGUUUGCAAGACUCUUUCUGAUUGUGUGAUAUGCAGUGGUUCUAUAAUAUAAAACUGUUUAGUUACUUGGCCUCCUCCAGCUCCUCAGUGCGCUGGAUGGCAUCAGUCUCAUAUUUGGAUCUCCACUGAGCCACCUCACUGUUGGCCUUGGACAUUCCACGCUGCAGCUCAGCCUUGGCCUCCUGCUCCUCCUCAUACUGCUCCCUCAGCAUGUCACAGUCAUGGCGGGCUGACUGCAAACCGUGGGCCAGGGCAUUCUUGGCCUUAAGUCAAAGCAAAGGUUAGAAUGCAAAUGAAUGAAUGGAUGUAUUAGAGAAUGCUGUGGAAUUAAGAGUACAGUUCAUGUAUAUGCCUUCCAGGCCCUUGUUGGUUAAUUAAGCUGUGAAAUACUGUUAUGUUUGAUCAAUCUAUUACCUUGACCUCCUCUUCAAUGUGCCUCUUGAGCUCCUCAAUCUGCUGUGUGUAGGCUUGUUUGCUUCUUGUCAGCUGGGAAACAAGAGCUUCCUUCUCCUCUAACUGGCGACUCAAUUCACCUGAGUAAACCAAAGUAUUGUGAAUCUCCAUCAUAUUUUUAUUUCACAUUUUGAAAUCAAAAAUCUAUAUUUGAUAUAUGUACCAUUUUCAGUAUGAAGUCUUGCUUUGUGUGCGCUUGUGUCAUUCAGCUGGCGUAAAUGCUCAUCGCUCUUGGUUUUCAGUUCACUCAGUUGAUCUUCAAGGGUACGGCACAUUUUCUCAAGGUUGCCCUGUUAGAAAAAAGUUUCUUUAGAACCCAUCAUGUUUGGUGAAAGAAACCAGACACGUCUGAAGUUAUGUGCGUAGACCUUCUCUUUACCUUUGAUUUAGCAACAGCCUCCAUGUUACUGGAGAGGUCAUCAAUCUCCAUUUUGUAUUCACUCUUCUCCUUCUCCAGUUUCUGCUUGACGCGCUGAAGGUUGUCGAUUUGUUCUCCCAGCUCUGCCACGCUGUCGGCCUGCUUCUUGCGGAGGGCGGCAGCGGUGGCUUCAUGUUGCAGGGUGGACUCUUCAAGAUCACGGCGCAGCUUCUGGAACUCAGCUUCACGCUUCUUGUUCAUCUCAAUCUGAGCAGAUGUGGCACCACCUGCUUCUUCUAGCCUCUCACUGAUCUCCUCAAGUUCCCUGGAGAGAUCAGCCCUCUGCUUCUCAACCUUGGCCCGAGCAGCACGCUCAGCCUCGAUUUCUUCCUCCAACUCCUCAAUACGAGCCUGUGGCACACAAUAGAAAAAGGGUUUAGGAUAUACAUGGAACUUUUGUCAUGUGUAAUACAUGAAAAUUGGCUGCUUUGACAGAGUACCUGGAGUUCUUUAAUCUUUUUCUGAAGCUGAGCACCCAAAGUUUGUUCAUCCUCAAUCUUGCUGAGAAGCUGGCUCAUCUCAAAGUCCUUCCUGUGGAGAGAACACCAUGAAAAAAUAAGAAUCUUUAUCAUUACAUUUUCAGUCAUUGUAUUGAUUUGAAUCCUCCCUUACUUCUUGAUCUUUUCAUCUGACUGCUGCUUGUCAUUCUCCAGAUCCAUUAUGGAUUCCUGCGCCAGUUUCAGAUCACCUUCAAGCUUUCUCUUGGCUCUCUCAAGGUCCAUGCGAAGCUUCUUCUCCUGUUCCAGAGAUCCUUCCAGCUAUUGUAGGGAAUACAGGUAAAAAAAUCUGUAAAAAGCCCUAUUUAUCCAUAAUCAUCUUCUUGCCACUAUAUAAUUCUGGUUUCUGUUCCCAAGGUUUUACCUUUUGGUCAAGAGCCCUCAUGUUUUACUCACAUCAUCCACUUGCUGUUCAAGCUUGGUCUUUGCUUUGGUCAGAGUGUUGACUUUGUCCUCCUCUGCCUGGAGAUCAUCCAGGGUCUGCUGGUGUGCCUCUUGGAGGGCCUUCUUCUCUUUUGUCAACUUGGCAAUAGUCUCAUCCUGAGAGGCCAUCUCUUCAGUCAGGUUCUUCACCUAAAGGGAUUCAUGUCACAGCAUGUUAGGGAGAUGUCACAUCCCUGCAAAAACACAAACACACAAGCACUAUAUUGAUGAAUUGUGAACCUUGUUUUCUGUGGCAUGUUUCUCCUUCUCCACUUUGGCCAAGGUGAGCUCUAAGUCAUCGAUGUCUUUCUUCAGCUCAGAGCAUUCAUCCUCCAGUUUCCUCUUCUUGGCAGUGAGCUCAGCAUUCAUUUCCUCCUCAUCCUCCAGUCUCUCAUUUGUCUCUUUGAGUUUUGCUUCAAACUGGAUCUUCGCUUUGAUGAGUCCCUCACAUCUUUCCUCAGCAUCAGCAAGGCCCUCACUUUCCUUGAAUAAAUUCAACAUUUCAUGAAAUUCUUAAGCAGGAAGCAAUUUGUGAUAACUGUUAUGACAAUAGGAGAAUUACAUGGCCAACUUACAGAUGCAACAGCCAACUGCAGGUCAUUCUUUUCCUGCAGCAGAGAGACCAUUUUCUCCUCAAGCUCCUUCUUCUUGGCUAAUGCCUUUGCCAGAUCCUCUUUGCACUUAGUGAACUCUUCCUUCAUGUUGGACAUCUCCUUCUCAGCUUCAGCACUCUUGAGAAGUGGCUUGAUCUUGAAGUAGAGCUUCAUCCAUGGCCAGUGUUUCACAUUCAUGAAUGAGCGCAUGUUGUAUUGGAUGGAGUAAAUGGACUCUCUGUGUAAAACAUGAUCAAAGUGAAGUAUUUCUGAAGAAUACAGCAGAAUUGUUUACUUGAAAUGAAGUAAUUGGUUGAUAGUUUAUGCAAAUAACAAAUAGCUCAUUUAAUGCAGAUACUGUUAUAAUUCAAUGUUUACAGAAAGUCAUGUAGUAGUACACAGAAACAUUAGAAAAGUAUUUUACAUGAUGAACCCCCUGAAAUUGGUUCAAUAUUUUCUGCAUUAUAACAUGUACCUCCUUUCCAUCAUUUUGACGAACUCUCUUCUCAUGAGGUAGCCACGGCUGAGGGCCUGAGUCAUGGUCACCAGCGUUGCCAGUUUCUCAUCACGCAUCUCCUCCAGGGUACCCAGCAGACCAGCUUUGAAGAACACCUGGAGGAAAUCAUGUAAAUAUUCAGUGAAUAAUAAGGCAUAACGUACAUCAUAUGAUGAAGGAACAAGCUCAUAAUUGAACAGUAUAUACUAUGUCUGUGUGUGUGUGUGUGUGUGUGUGAGAGAUAUAUACACUAUAACAUGCCAUGCAUAUUCAAGAAUGUAUAACACCAGAGGGAGGUGUCAUGCAUUUUUGUACUGUAUAUGCUCACACAUGGAGCGAUUUGUAUCUCUUAGGCCAUAGCAACAAUUAAAACAAUAUUUAAGAAACUUUUAAGAGAGUACAAAACUGAGACUACUAUACACAAAUCUGCCACUUUGCUCCUCUAGUAAGGAUCAAUUACAUUUUAAGCUUAAGAACUCAUUAUCAUUUACAGAAAUGCAAUUCAGGCCCUUCAAUUCUCUUACCUUGGUGUGGCCAAACUUGUACUGAGUGUGGUCCACAUCAAUGGAGCCCAGGAGCUUCUCAGAAGCUUUCUUGUUGUCAAUGAACUGUCCCUCAGGGAUGACACUGGCAUUCAAUACCUUGUAUCUAAAAGAAAAUACUGCCAUUUUUAACUGGAGACAUUGCUAUGAAGUGUGCUUGAUUGAUAGUCAGUCAUGGAUUAUUGUGGACAAUAACUACAUUACAUUAUAGCAACACUGUGGUCUAUAUACUCAUGUAUUAAAGAGGUGCAUAAGAUACCUCUGCUUGAAGUCACCAUAGAGGAUUCUGCUGGGGAAGCCCUUUCUGCAGAUUCUGAUGCCUUCCAGCACACCAUUACACCUCAGCUGGUGGAUAACCAAGAAGUUCUCCAUCAGACCUAGAAAACAAGAAAAUAUGUUUAUAAUUCAUCAAUCAUCAUAAUAUAUACAGUGAUACUGUAAAUGCAAGAUAUUGUGUCUCACAACACUACAAUGUAGUUACUGCUACAAGGAUUUAUACUAUUCUGUUUCUUGGAUUCUUUUUUGACAAGUUGAGCUUAUGGGGCCUUAAGUACAGUCCUUACCAGGUGUCUUUGAUUCAUUAGGAAUCAAGCAACGCACAAAGUGAGGAUGUGUGCUCCUCAGGUUGGUCAUCAGCUUGCCCAAGUUCUCCUGUGAGAGAGGAGGAGGCAAAAUAUAGAAAUAGGAAGCUGUACAACGCUUUUUUACAUUAAUUCAAUCUAUUAUGUGAACAUCACAUGUACACGUUACGGUAAUAUUACACAGACACAGUGAUAUCACUGCCAACUAUUCUUGGAUAACAGUAUAGUUUCACUUGCAUUCCUCCCUUACCCUGAAGAGAGCAGACACAGUCUGGAAGGAGCCACCCUUCUUCUUGCCAGCCUUUUUGCCACCCUUUGCAGCUUCUGUUUGUACAUGACAAAUGAAACAGUUGGUUUUAAUACUAUUUUGAAGUAAAAUCAAGAAAAGUUAAGAAAAAUCACUUUUAGUUACCUGCUUUUGAUAAGGAACUAUGAUUUCUAUUUUCGCAUUUCCUGUCAAAUUGAGUGUCUUUGCUAUUUUUGAGAGAUUUAUUCUGAUCAACCUUUUUUUAGAUUGUGACUUACAAUGAAGACUAUUUUCGUAAAAUCAAUCAGCACAGCCUUACCAUCAGCUGCACCGUGGGUUGCAUACAGGUGACACAGCAGUUUGACUGAGGACUUCUGGUACAGCUGUACUACAGAGUCGUUCAGAGGGUCCUUGUUCUUGUCCAGCCAGCCGUUGAUGUUGUAGUCCACAGUGCCAGCAUAGUGAACCAGGGCGAAGUGGGCCUCAGCCUUUCCUUUGGCAGGUUUGGGCUUCUGGAACGCGUUGGUUUUGCCCAGAUGUUGGUCAUAGAGCUUGUUCUUAAAGGUUGUGUCAGAAGCCUUGGGGAACAUGCACUCCUCUUCAAGGAUGGAGAAGAUGCCCAUUGGCUGGUGAAGGCAAAAAUAUUUCCAUGAGGAGACAUCAGGGGUAACAGAACAUGUUUGUGUCUGUCGAUAAUAAAGGGCAUCUCACAUACCUUCUCAAUAAGCUCAAUGCAGGCAGCCAAGUCCAUACCAAAAUCAAUGAACUCCCAAUCAAUUCCCUCUUUCUUGUACUCCUCUUGUUCCAGCACAAACAUGUGGUGGUUGAAAAACUGUUGCAGUUUCUCAUUGGUGAAGUUGAUACACAGCUGCUCCAAGCUGUUGAACUGAAUUUUUGAGAAGAUACAAACUUUAGUGAAAUUUGAUUAAGGCCCUCAUAUUGUGAUAUUUCAUGUACAAGAAUUUGUGAUAAUAUGACGGGGCACCGCCACUCACAUCAAAGAUUUCAAAUCCAGCGAUAUCCAGGACACCAAUGAAGUAAUUUCUCUGUUGCUUUGUGUCCAACAUCUCAUUGAUGCGAAUGACCAUCCACAAGAACAUUUUCUCAUAGACAGAUUUGCACAGAGCAUUAACAGAGUUGUGGACCUAUUAGUGUAAUGAGAAAAAGAGAUAAAUGCCAUAUUUGAAUGUGUUAUAUUCUGUAUAUUUCACUAUUGUUUCAGUACUGAUGAAUCACUAUUCAGCAAAUUGUAUAGUGUAUUAUAAUAUUUGAGUAUUAUACAAAAAUAUUUUUCAUUGAGAUACAUUACCUGUGGUACAGUCUGUCCCUUGGUCACAAACUCAUUUCCGACCUUCACUCUGGGGUAGCACAGACAUUUCAGCAGGUCAGCUGAGUUCAGGCCCAUGAGGUAAGAAAUUUUAUCUGCCACUGAAAUGAAGAGAAUCAAGGUGUGAUUCUACAUGUUAAAAUCGUAGUCAACCACAAAAAAUGUAAUCAGCGUAACCAUUGCAUAAUCCUCUUAGCUACUUUGACGUUGGUGCAUUAACAGAGCCAAUGUGUUGCACUUACCCUCAGUGCCAUCUGGUUCAGCCUGCUCCUCGCGCUGCUUUUGCUUAAACUUCAUGUUCCCGUGAUGCAAACAAGCACCAGUCAGCUUGUAGAUGCCCAACUUCUCAUCACCAGUGAAGCCCAAGAUAUCAAUGGCAGUCUACAAUGAAAACAAAAAAUGUUCAUCAGAAUUCAUCAGAGUUUUCAGCCUGGAUUUGCUCAACAUCAUCAUUUAAGCUUUAUUCUUCAAGUGUCACAAGUGUCAUGGGUCAUUCUUGAAUUCACAAUAAUUGCUGGGUUUCUAAGGAAAUACACUAACACCUGAAUUAAUUUUCAAGACAAUAUUCAGGACAAAUAAUGAGUGAGGAAGAAAGCAAAACAAAAUUAUCAGUUGGAAUUCACGACAACCUGUUUUCACAUGGAAUUAAAAUAUGUAGUCAAGAUUUUCUCCGGUGACAAUGCAAGAAUUAAUGUUUGAAGGGGUAUCUGCUAGCCAGUCAGGCUGCUGGGAAGUCAGGGUGAACGAUUACAGUGUACUGCAAAGUCCUGUAUAGCAACUUUGUUGCUUCAGAAAUACUGGUAUAAAGCAGCACUUUUUGUAAUUGAUUUGGUGAAGAAAAAUCACUUACAUCUGUGGCAAUGAACUCCUCCACGUCAUCUAUACUUUUGACAGUGAUUUCACCUUGGCUGAUCAUGGGGUAAUCAUAUGGGUUGGUGGUAAUGAGUAGACCCUCUGUAAUAAACAAUAAUCAGUUAUACUGAAAAUUGCAAGUGUUAUUCACAGAAUUAAAUCUGUUGCAGAAUGACAGAUUUCACACCUAGCAGUUCAGGUUUGUGGCCUGUCAUAAGCUGGUAGAAGAUGUGGUAGCUGCGCUCAGCUGACAGCUGGAAUGUUACUCUUGACUUUUCCAGCAAAUCUGUGGGAAGAAAAUUGCAUUUUCAUAAAAAGGUUUUUACAGUAGAAUCCCUUGCUAAAUUGAUACAGUGUGUCAGGUAGAGACUUACAGGUUUCAAUAUCAGCAGAAGCCAGUUUGCCUGUUGUACCAAAGUGGAUUCUGAUGAACUUUCCCUGAAAAAUUAACAAAAUGAAAUUUUGGGAUUAAAUGCCGCAUUAUUUCAGUACUGUUAAUGUAAGGAAGUUUGAACUUUAAAUAUAUCUUCAAACUUACAAAACGGGAGGAGUUGUCAUUCCUCACGGUCUUGGCAUUACCAUAAGCCUCCAGCAGGGGGUUCGCUGCAAUGAUUUGAUCCUCCAGUGAUCCCUACAGGAGACACCGGACACCUCAGAAAUGUGCAACAACAGUUAAUGUUCCCAAGAUAUUUGCACAUUUCUAGAGACUCCCUCUGACCUGCAUUUUGCUAGCUGAUUGCUCAGCUUUCUUUCCUCCAGCCACUGCGAUUGUCGCGAAGUACUGGAUGACACGUUUUGUGUUCACAGUUUUCCCUGCACCAGAUUCUCCGCUGUGGAAGAACAGAAAGAACAUUGCUUUUCAUUUUUACAAACAUUUAAUUUUAGCUUUCUUUUAAUCAUGGUUUUGGAAAUGUACUGUAUGGGGUACAUACGUAAUCAGAACGGACUGGUUCUCACGAUCUGCAACAGGAAAGAUUGGAAAUUUGUUAUAUUGAUACACUUCUUUCAUUCUUAUCCUUUUUCUUUUCAAAUGAGACGGACCUUACUCAACAACAGAUUACCCUUUCUUUUUAAUCCCAUCCCACCCUGUUUGCAAUCAAUACACAUGAUUGAGGCUAUUUGUAUUCACAUGGCUGGUACUGUUCAGCUGGUGAGAUUGAUUCCUUUCUCAGCAGGAUUCUACAUUUGGAAACAUUAUUGGCAUUUGUCAGACGCUCUUAUCCAGAGCGACAUACAGUUAGACCAAGCAGGAGACAGUCCUCCCCCUGGAGCAAUGCAGGGUUAAGGGCCUUGCUCAAGGGCCCAACGGCUGUGCAGAUCUUAUUGUGGCUACACCAGGAAUUGAACCACCCACCUUGCGUGUCCCAGUCAUUUACCUUAACCACUACACUACAGGCCGCCCCAGAAACAUUUGUUUUGGGUGCCAAUAAAUCAUUCCCAUAUUCAGUUAAUCUGUCCUGCAGCACCAAAGUUGUUUGUAAAGUCACUUAGAUUUCCUCCCCAUUCUAACAUUUGGUCUGAGAAACAGCUGAACCUCUUGGCCAUGGCUGCAUGCUAUUUUGCAUUUAGAUGCUGCCAUAUCAUUAACUGAUUAAAUAUUUGCAUUAACAAGCUGGUUUACAGGUGUACCUAACUGAGUAUCUACUACUGUAAACCUGUAUUUUAGAGUAACUUGAAAAUGUGUACCAGAAGAUAUUCGUACCUGUGAGCAUGAACUGAUAGGCAUUGUCAGAGAUGGAGAAGAUGUGGGGUGGGGCUUCAAUUCUCUUUUUGCCUCUGUAUGCUUCCACAACAACAGAAUCGUACACUGGGAGCCACUUGUAGGGAUUCACAGUGACGCAGAACAGCCCAGAGUAGGUCUGAAACAGUGACAGUAGAUACAUUAUGUGCAGGAACACAUUCAUUUCUUUGCAUUUUGUAAAUGUAUUAAAGUGUUUUUGAGGAAAACUCACAUAGAUCAUCCAUGCUGCAUAGCGCUCUUUGAGGUUAUACAGCACACAGGGCUCAUUGAGGUGGGUCAUCAUGGCCAUGUCCUCAAUCUUGUCGUAUUUGGGAGGAUUCAUUGGGUGGAUGUCAUCCUCCUUGACUGUUAGUUUCUGUGAAAUAGAAAAUUGAAGUGGUUAUUAAUAUUAUUAUUAUUAUUAUUAUUAUUAUUUUAUUAUUAUUAUUACUACUAUUAUCAAGCACUAUGUGCUUGGAGCCCUAUUUAUAAUUAUAAUUAUUUUCCGCCCGCUUUGAAUGCUUAUAUCUCCCAAACGGUCUGGUGAAAACUCUUGCAACUUGCUAGGCAUGUUACGAAUAUGUGCAUUUGAGGGCUAUUAGAAUAUGGCACCAGUUGGCCUAGUAGUGGCUUUAUAGAGCACGUUUGAAAAUGGAAAAAUUUGAAAAGCCAUAACUUUUGAACCAAUAUUUUAGACAAUGAAAUGCUAAAAAAAAAAUCUUUCUUCUGAUAAAACGUACAUCUGAUUGAUGUCAGAUUUGGUGGCUAUCAGCUAUGGCCUAUUCCCGAAGUAGAUUGUGAGGAAAUUGUUAAUCCAUCAAAAACUGAAUGGCUACUGAAAUUGACCCAUGUGGGCUCCAUUUAAACAGCUGUAAUUAAUUCCAGACAGCUCAUUCAGCCUUGAUCAUUUUCUACAUCGAAGGCAAUGAACAAUACAAAACUUUAAUGUACUCAAUAGAGAAUUUUUAUAGUGGCCGCUAUAAAAUAAUUGGUAAUUUAGCAUUUUUAUUUUGGAAAAAAUACAAUGUAAAAAUCUUCACAUGAAGCGUAAGUCCAAUCAAUAUGCCAUUUGGAACAAGAACACUUUGUUUAACCGGCUAUCUAAAUUGCGAAGGAAAAGUUUCAAAAUGAUAGCCAAUCAUAUUUUCAUAUGAAAAUUAGCAUGCAAUGCUAAGUCAGAAUUGUAAGCCAUGGCUUGCCAAGGGGGCACUAGGGGUUGCUGUAGCUCCAUAAUUAAUUUAGCCGUCAUUGGCCUUCUCCAGCAUUGCACUCUGUGCUUGGACCCUGUUUAUCGCAGCUAUUAUUAUUAUUAUUAUUUUCUCUACUUACUUGAUGCCCUUCCAGAGUUUCAACGGUGGCUUUGCCCCCCUCUCUGCUAACGAGUUUCCCCUUGAGGUACAUCUCCUUGGGCUCAGCCACAAAGUAGGCCGUUUUGGCAUCAAAGGGUGUGUUCUGGGCCUCGAUUCUCUCCUUCUCAGGCUUCCGGAGGAAAACGGAUGCUGGCCCGAAGACCGACAUCUCCGCAUCUGUACUCAUGAUGGCAAUUUACUGAGGAGAAACAAAGUAAAUGUUCAAGCAACUGAAUCCAACAUUUUAUCGAAGUGAACUAGAAAGAUUUCAGUCACAAAGACAAAAUGAACAAGAUGGCCUGUUACAUAGUGGUUUUUAAAUAUGUACCCAGUAAAUGCUCAACUAUACCUGGUAAAAAGUUGAAAAUGUUUUGGGUAGAAAAAUAUAUAAAUGACUCUCUUCAUUAUCAAAUGCGCUCUGAGCUCAAAUACAAAUACAAAUUUGUUUUUAUCUUGGGUGAAUUUAGGUAGGAAAACGGGGGGGGUGGGGGGUCGGGGAUUCUUCAGAUGUGCUGUUAGGCUUUAUUCUUUUUGAUUGUUAAAGCAAUUUAUGUUUAGGCCUACCUCCUUCAAUGCCAAGAGAAAAAGGUGGUCUUUGAGUGCUGAAAAAAACAGUUUUCCAUUAAUACAGUAUUAAAUGUAAACUACAUGUACGCUAUUUCGUAAUUUGCUCAAUUUCAAGGGAAAACAUGAAGGCCCGCUAUUGGCUUUUUAAAAUGGUUGAGAUACUCAGGAAUAUGCUGAUAUGCUUAUGUCUUUAUGUAAUUUCAAUACAAUUACCACAAAUGUGAUACAAAUACUGUAUCAGUUUAUGUUUGUUAUUUCUAUUUGACAUUACUCUUAACAUAAUGAACUUAUACACAAUCCCUUCGGGCUUCAUACUGUACAUUGUAAGCUGCUCCAAUAUCACAGUAAAUCUCACUCACCUUGCAGGGUGCCAGCCAGUCCCUGGGGGUAUGAGGGUGGCAUCUUUUAUAGAGGGGGAUUUGUCUUCACUCAGCAGAACUCAACCCCUCUAUUUGGUCAUGUAUCUUUCCCCUUACUGGCUAUCUAGUGCUCGUAGCAGUAGAUAUGAUAUUAUUUUUAUCUUCUGAUAAAUCAUUGGUAUUUCUUAGUGAAAAUAAUACUACACGGGGGUUCAUAAUAAAUUAUAGGAACCUGAAUCGGAGAAAACUGGGAAGCAAAAAAUAUAAUUUUAAUACAUAUUGUUCUGUAUAAUAUUUGAUUCAUGAUAACAUAUAUUUUGUCCUGAAGUACAGUACAGUAUAAAACUUUUCAAAUGUAUGAAUUUAUUAUUAUUAUUUUUUUAUUGUACUUGCUACAAUAUACUUUCUUUUAUUAUACAUAUUAUACAUUACAUUAUAGUUAAUCUCAUCUUUUGGAUUUUUUAUGCAUUUAAAAUAUUUUUAAUGGGUGGCUUCAUGGUAUAACCUUAAACUUUUAAAGAUUGAACUAAUAUGCAUUUUAGUGGAACUGUCAUAAAGAACAUGGGAGCUUAGUGUAGCUGUGUAGAGAUUAUUAAAUUAAACUGAUAUAAUCACUUGCAGUGCUUACAAGUAGCAAUACUGGGAGUGACAAUUCCCAGAACAUUUACAAAUAAUGACACCUCAUGACACCUCAAUGAAGAUCAAUCUUGUUCCUCAAGAAAUAAAUCUAAACAUUCUUACUUUAACAUGCCUUGUUAACAGAACUUAUCUAUGGCUUUACAAUAUAUUAAAUAUUCAUAUAUUAACUGACCCCCAUAGAUCCCCCCCCCCCCCCCCGGUUCCCACUCUUGUGUCAUGUGUAUGAUGGAUUCUGGCACGGAUGAGGAGCCUAGUUUAACCUUGGAGAAGCAGUGAAAUGUCACUGGUGUACUGUUGCAGUACUCUUGCCUGCCUUUGAGUUUUUGCAUGAAAUAAAACUUGGGUGUAGGUUCAAUCCUUGGCCUCAGCAGUACAGACGUCAGCAUUUCCAAAAUGUACCUUAUUAACCCUUCAGAAUGUGUCAUACCCCCAGUUUUUAGCCUGGGUAUGCUGGCUUUUGUUGUUACUAAGCACCCGAUUGAUCUAUUAAAGCGGUUAAUUAGAGUUGUGCACCCCUGUUUUAGCGUUAAUCCAUCCUUUGCCUUUAUCACAGCUUGCUUUCUUUUUGAGAGACCUGCUGCUUUAAAAAAAAAGAAAAAGAAAAACCUUCUUGUAAACAUCUCCAAAGUUCAGUCUUAGAUGUUGGUUGCAUUUUCUGCUUCUGCCUCAAUCCAAGUAAUCCCAAAUGCAUUCAAUUUUUUUGUUGUAUUUAUCAGCAACCAAAUCUUGUCAUACAACCCAAAACUGCACUGAUCCUCCACCAUGCUUGACUGAUGUGUUGUAGACGGUUCAAAGAGUCUUUCAUAGCUUUAGUGGUGUAUACACUGCUUUCUCUUUGUUCCAAAAAUCUCACAUUUGGAUUAAUUGGUCCAUAAAACACUGGAAAUGUGAUAAAUGCAAGGGUGGUCUCUUGCCAUUUAUUUUUAUUUGCAUAAUUACACAUUGUGGAGAAAUGCCACAGAAAAUGAAUAAUCAGGAGUGUAUUAGGGAUGCUGGAGACUGAAUCAUUUCCAGUGCUUUGAAAUUUGAAAGUAUUACUGUGUAUGUCAAUAAAUAAUAUGCACUGCCAGAUCAGCAGAUUCUGUUUCAUGCUAGCAUUGGCUUCAAUAGAAUCUUUUUAUUUCUUUAUUUAAAUACACUUAAAACACUACACCAGCAUCACAUUACACAAUUCAUGUGUCUGGGUCUAGAGAUGUUCCUGUGGGAAAUGCUGCAAACUAUUUUUAUACAAGGUUUAUGAUAUUAUAAGGCACCUCUAUUCCCUGGAUAAGAUCAUGUCCAAACAUGGAAUGGGAACGAACAUAGAGAAGUGCUUACGCAUGUUUUAUUAAAAUGAUGCGCUUGAUCCAAUAAUGUGGGUCUAUGAAGAUGAAAUACUGAUGCAGCUGCUCAGGGUAUUGCUAUUUGCCAGGAUGUGCUGUGACACUUACUGUAGAGUUGGGUUUAAUGUGUCCACAGUAUUCCACCCCAGUGCUGCUUCAGCUCUGACUAUUGCUGCACAGUUCACUUGAGAAGGUUUAUCGAACAGAUGAAGUGUCAUUAGGAGGAGGGAGGGAUGCCAUUUAUAGUAUCAACAAUCAGUAUUCCACCCCAGUGCUCCUUCAGCUCUGACUAUUGCUGCACAGUUCACUUCAGAAGGUUUAUUGAACAGAUGAAGUGUCAUUAGGAGGAGGAAGGGGUGCCAUUUAUAGUAUCAACAAUCGGUAUUCCACCCCAGUGCUCCUUCAGCUCUGACUAUUGCUGCACAGUUCACUUCAGAAGGUUUAUUGAACAGAUGAAGUGUCAUUAGGAGGAGGAAGGGGUGCCAUUUAUAGUAUCAACAAUCGGUAUUCCACCCCAGUGCUCCUUCAGCUCUGACUAUUGCUGCACAGUUCACUUCAGAAGGUUUAUCGAACAGAUGAAGUGUCAUUAGGAGGAGGGAGGGGUGCCAUUUAAAGUAUCAACAAUCAGGUAAGUACAACUUGUUACUGCAAUAGAAAGUGAGUGAAGGGAUUCAAAGUAUAGCCUCCACUGAACUUUUCUAGAGUGCAGCACAACAAUUUAGGAAUGUGAGUGCACUGAAAACCAUAGCUAUUGGUUUUUCAUUUGAAAUUGUGUCUGGUUUGUACCCUGGUGUAAAGUCCAGCUAUAAUCAGCUUAAAAUACCAGCUACUCGCUGUUUCAAAACAUACCUUGAGCUGGUCUAACUGGUCAACCAGCUACCAGCUGAUUCAAGACCUAGCUUGAGCUGUUGAGCAAGGUAGUAGUCUUUGACCUACAUUUUUAAACAGGUAGUCAUUUUGUAACCAUUUUGGUGUACCAUUUAUAGUGCUACUGCCAUAGACCACAAGCAGCGCACAUAUGGCAAUACACUUGCUAUGAUCUGGAACUGAUUAAGUGAAGCAAAUUCUCCAAAGUAUUUAGCUUUUCCCAUUGGGCUGUUUGGAUUGCUGACUUUAAUACACUAUACUGUGACAGUCUGGUUUUACUGUAGGUCAUGAUAAAAUGUGUUUAUCAAAUCAAUCAAUGGAAACUUUGAAUGCAUUCCCAUACUGCAACUGGAUUGAUUUCUGAGUUAAUUAAUGGUAGCAACAAUAAAAUAGAAGUGAUGAUGCUCACAGAAUGCCACCAUCUGUAGUAGUUCUCCCUUAUUAAAGCUCAUCACAGUGUUGGAAUUCAUAUUUCUGAUAGUGAUGGGUGUCAUUUAUUUCAUAGAACAAAACACCCAUUACUAUCUCGACCAUGAAUGUCAAAGUUAAUGUAAAUUAAGCCUGCCUCUUGUAGGCCUUUGCAUCGAGCUGCAGCUUGUCCACCAGGUCCUGCAGUCUGUGGACGUUCUUCUUGUCCUCCUCAGUCUGCAGAGGGUAAAGCAGGUUCAGAAGAGGUAGCAUGCCUGGCUGUUUUCUCGUCCACUGUUUUAUGUAGAGGUUGAAAACCUUUACCUGUUGGAUGAACUCUGACUCUCCUGUCCAAGCUUGUCCACCAGGUCCUGCAGUCUGUGGACGUUCUUCUUGUCCUCCUCAUUUACCUUAACCACUACACUACAGGCCGCCCUAGCAUACUGUAUGGGCCAUCACCAGCUUCCCCUGUAUUACCUACUUUAUCUGGAUUAAAUGUCUUUAACUUUGAGAGAGCUCAGUCAUUUCUGAGCUACGCCUUCAGAAAGAUGAUAUAGUACUGGCAAAAAACUUAAUGCAUAUGAUGCCUGACAGGCUCAUAAAUCAAAUAAAUGUGAUACUUGACAUCCUUGAAAGAUGUACUUGUGAGUAAAUACAAAUAUAGUUGCUUACUCAACUAGCAGAACAUUCCUGUUAAUCAAAUGCUGCCAGUUUAAUGGUGGAGCAGCUUUUUAAUCUCCAUUAAUAUUCAAUGGCUCUGCUCUUCAACCUCAUUCUCCUUUUGUUUAGAAGUGCUAGAACAAUAUCAGAUUUUAUAAUGGUGGCUUGGGGUUUGUAGUUGCAAAGUUGUUGAUAUAAUUCAUCAUUUAUUAUCUAUUGACUAUGCUGCAGACAAUUCUCGUCUUAGCAUACAGCAUUACUUUCCAUCUGACACCAUUCCCAAGGCAUUUAGCCAACAAAUGGAGAAUUUUGGUACAAUAUUUUUUGUUAUUAUAGGACAGUACUACUCUAUGGGAAAGAUGAUAUAUUACCAAAAAUGUUCAGUGAAAAAGGUGAAUUUGAUAUUUGUUUCAUUACAGAGAUGAAAUGCUAAUAUAACUGAUUGGUGUAAUCAGAACAUUUAAGCACUGUGAUGUUUAUUGAGAAUAAGUCAUUAGGCAAAAUUAAGCGACUUUCUGCUAUUUAGAUGGGUGGGUUGAGUGUUUUUUUUUUUUUUUGUGUUGAUGUUGGUAUUAUGUCAGAAUUUAUCACUCGUGCAUAAUCUGCAGUAUUGGAUUCUACAGUAAAGCCCAGCUCCCUAUCCCUUAUAGUACACUGUGCCCUUUUUCCACUAACUCCUCUAUGGCACUCUUUGAGCUGUUCCAAUUGGAAAAUCGGUGAUGACACAUACAAUAAUUUGGAUUUCUCUGCAGAUAGAUCAGUCAGUAGGUCCUUUCUUUUGGUCAUCCAAAAAGAUGCCAUUGUAGGCUAGCUGAAAACAAGCUAUCUGGUGAUUGAAAAUGUCAGGAGCUCAGUUAAAGAAAGACGUUAAAAACGUUCAAUCUGCCAGGCACAGAUGUAUAGGCCAGUUGCAGCUGCUGAGGUGAAAAUUGAGGUGGCAGAAAAAAACAACAACUUCCCCUUAAGCUGACUAGUUGUCUCAACCCGUUUUCAUCAUUUUCAGCAAUUCAUUCACUACAUAUUCAAUAACAUCAGAGAUAUAGGCAGUUGCUCUUAAUUCGACUAUUAGGCAAGUGAUAAAAUGACUUUCAUUUGUACUGCAAUGGGACAAUAUACUCCAGAUAGGCUAACCUGCAUGUCUUUUUACUGUGGGAGGAAACCAGAGAACCCACACAGAGAAGUGACUUGUACACACUCACCAAGCACUUUAUUAGGUAUUUAUUGGACUUAUUAUUAUUUUUUACUAAUUGGUCUUCUGCUGCUGUAGCCUAUCCACUUUCAGGUUUGAUGCGUUUUGUGUUCAGAGAUGCUCUUCUGCAUACCACUGUUGUAAUGUGUGGUUAUUUGUGUUGCGGUCAGCUUCCGGUCAGCUUUGACCAGUCUGGCCCUUCUCCUCAGACCUCUCUCAUUAACAAAGUGUUUCUGUCUGCAGAACUGCUGCUCACUGGAUUUCUUUUUGGGGUUUUUUUGCACCAUUCUUUGCAAGACUAGUGUGCAUGGAAAUCCCAGCAGUUUCUGAGAUACUCAAACCACCCUGUCUGCCACCAACAAUCAUUCCACGGUCAAAGUAAUUUUUUCCCCAUUCUGAUGGUUGAUGUGAACAGUAUAUGAAGCUCCUGACCCAUAUCUACAUGAUUGUAUGCACUGCACUGCUGCCACACAAUUGGCUGGUAAGAUAAUCACAUGAAUAAGUAGGUGCAAUAAAGUAUUCCUAAUAAAGUGCUCGGUGAGUGUAUAUGUUAUAUAUUUAAUUAUCCUUCAAGUAUGCUGAAGUAUGUAAUUACUGUGCUGAUUAUGUUAUCCUGUAUAUUCAACCAGGCAAUAAUAUACGCCUGAGGCUUAUGCUAUGAAUUCCACUGCAGUGUGAUGGCAUGACAUCUGAUAAAAGAAAAAUAAUUUUGUAAAAAAAAUAAAAAAAGGUGAAAAUAAGAAUACCACACAAGUACUGUAUAAGGCGAGCUACCUUUAUUGACUGACGGCUUACAUGACAACAUUUUGCAAGAAGUUCAUAUUGUAUGAGAGCUUGUUACUCCGUCUCAUCUAGGUUGCCUCCCUUAUUCUGCGGUUUCUUUCCCCUAAAAUGAAAUUGAAUAUUAAAAACCCAUUAUCCUCUCAUCAUAUACACUCUGUAAAUUGAGAGUGGUAUUCAUAUGCAGUAACUCAUUUAAAUAAAUUGUAACCCCAAAUUGUAACCCCAGUGGUAACCUACCUUGCCAGCGUCACGGCUCUUGGCUCUCAGCUUGUUGACCUGGGACUCAGCGAUGUCGGCACGCUCCACAGCUUCUUCCAUCUCGUGCUGCACCUUCCUGUACCUGGACAGGUGGGUGUUGGCUUGUUCCUCCUGUGAGUGAGCAAGAGAAUAUAUUUCAGAGUUAGCGAUUGCAUUGAAUUGAAUGUAGACAUUGAAUUAAUCAAUUAUGAUACUGUUUAUCGUAACUAAUUAUGCAGUUGUCAGAGCUAUCCUCCAAAGAAUGAAGAGAAUAAAGGUUCUCCUGCGACUGUAAUUGCCAUAUUCAAAUUAUAUUUUCGACACCUAUUAAUUACUUAACAAUGCAUUAUAGCAUUUAGUACAUUAGUCUUCGGUAUGGAGCAUUUGACUUACGGAUUCCUCAGCCUGCCUCUUGUAGGACUUCACUUUGAGCUGCAGUUUGUCCACCAGGUCCUGCAGUCUGUGGACGUUCUUCUUGUCCUCCUCAGUCUGCAGAGGGUAAAGCAGGUUCAGAAGAGGUAGCAUGCCUAGCUGUAGUUUAGUCCACUGUUUUGGGUUAAGAUGUAUGAAACCUUACCUGGUAGGUGAGCUCCUUGACUCUCCUCUCAUAUUUACGGACACCUUUGACGGCAUCGGCUCCACGUCUCUGUUCAGCCUCAACUUCACCUUCCAGCUCGCGCACCUUGAAUAGAAAAUUGACCAUUUUUAUACGGUGCAGAUGUGGACAGGACCCCGAAAAUACGGGUGCUUCUUCAUGAAACCUGCAUGACCCAAUUGUAUCGUUAUUUUCUGUGUUUGUUAUCGGUACUGAAACACCUACUUAAUUGAGAAUAUAAUUUUAUAAAAAACUAAUAAAUUAAAUUUUACAAAUGAGCACUGAUUUGGCUGAUUGAUGUAAAUUACCCUGGAUUCCAGUUUCUGGAGCUGUUUCUUUCCGCCCUUCAUGGCCAGAUUCUCAGCCUCAUCCAGACGGUGCUGCAGGUCCUUGACAGUGACCUCCAGGUUCUUCUUCAUCCUCUCCAGAUGAGCGCUGGUGUCCUGCUCCUUCUUCAGCUCCUCUGCCAUCAUGGCAGCCUGCAGUUUCAGACAGUUUUCUGCUUUCAUGCAAGUUUUUAUAUAAACAAUUAUUUUCUGAGGGCAAGACUGAUGGUACAGUAUUUACAGCACAGGCCCCACGUGGAACACAGCUAAUUUAUUGUUAUGCAAAGGGCUGUACCUCUGCUGGUCUGAUAAAAAUCAAGCUGUAUGAUUUACAGAAGAGGCAAAAGUAAGCUUUACACAUUUCUGGUAUGAGCAUCACUCACAUCUGUGAUGGCCUUCUUGGCUUUCUCCUCAGCAUUUCUUGCUUCCUGGAUGGUGUCAUCAACUUCACCUUGAACCUGGACAAGGUCAGCUUCCAGCUUCUUCUUGGUGUUCAUAAGGCUGGUAUUCUGGACAAAAUGGAAUAUUUUUAGGUUGGCAUGUCAUUAUGUUGUAAUUCUCCCUAAAAUAAUAAAGGAAUGCCUUAUUGACUCACUUGGGAGUGCAGCAGUCCCACGCGCUCGCUUGCAUCGACCAGCUCCUGCUCGGCCACUUUGCGGCCCCUCUCUGUCUGUUCCAGGGCAGCCCUCAGUUCUUCAAUCUCAGCCAGCAUCAGGUUGUUCCUGCGCUCCACCAUGGCAACCUGUUCCUUCAUGUCCUCCUGUCCUCUGAUCGCAUCAUCAAGGUGCAGUUGGGCAUCCUGACAGAGAGAUUAAUUAAGUUAAUUGUGUAUGAAAGCCUGAACAUGUUGGAGCUGAGCACAGGUAUUUUAGAAACAUACCUUGAGCUGUCCUUGGACAUUCCUCAGUUGCUUCUGGGCUUCAGCUGCCUGGCGGUUGGCAUGGCUCAGCUGAAUCUCCAUCUCAUUGAGGUCUCCCUCCAUCUUCUUCUUGACUCUCAGAGCAUCAUUCCUGCUCCUCACCUCAGCAUCAAGGGUGGUCUGCAUAGACUCAAUCACCCUCUGGCUGUUCCUCUUGAUCUGUUCCAUCUCCUCAUCCUUCUCCGCUAACUUCCUGUCAAUUUCACCCUUGACCUGAUUGAGCUCCAGCUGUAUCCUGAGAAUCUUGGACUCCUCAUGCUCCAGCGUUCCCUGUAAAAUUGUGAGGAAAAAAUAUAUUUUGCAGCAAAGAUGGAAAACAUUUUGUCUUCUUGAAGUAAUUGAGAAAAUGUACCAUAUUUGUAGGACUUCACAGGUUGCAGAUAAGCAAAUUACUUUUAUUAUGUUCAUAAAACUCAUUGCCAAAUAUGAAAUAAUUAUUAUCUAUUAUAAAGGGUUUAAAAGAAAUAAAUAACAAAAUCAUUGCAUUACCUGAAAAGUGUCAAGUGGGUGAAAGGUGUGUGAUUACCUCUGCCUCUUCUAAGGCUGUCUGGAUUUCUGCUUUCUCACUCUCCACAGUCUUCUUUGCCUUCUCCAGCUCAUGAACGGUCUUUCCAGUCUCUCCGAUUUGCUCAGUCAGGUCGGAAAUCUCCUCUGUAAUGACGAUGAUAAACAAUGUAAUAAUUGUUGUAGCUGUGGUUAUUGCAUGUAUCUGUCAAGGUUGUGUUGAGUAUGUUAUUUCCAAAGCCUCAUGAAUGUUGUUAUAAUAAUAGAUUAUUACAAGUGCACAUACGCUGCAGAUUCUUGUUCUCUCUCUUCAGUGUCUCCAGUUGGUCCAGAGCCUCUUCAUAGGAGUUCUUCAUCUUGAAGAGCUCAGUGCUAAGAGAACGGGCCUCUUUCAGUGCUCCCUCCAACUCGGCCUGACCUUCCUCAAACUUCUGUUUCCAUUCGGCCAGAACCUGAAUGAAAGACAAAACGCAGCCAUUAAUACCACUUCCAGCUGGCCUUCAUUUUAAGCCUGAUAGUGACAUACAACACAGUUGUUAAUGAGCCCAGCUUUGAUUAGAUUUACCUUAUCGAAGUUCCUCUGUUUCUUGUCAAGGUUGGCAGCCAGGGCAUUUGCUCUCUCCACAUCAAUCAUGAGAUCCUCCACUUCACCCUGCAGCCUCUGCUUGGUCUUCUCCAGAGAGGCACACUUGGAGUUGACAGCCUCAAUGGACUCUUCUGCCUCCUGCAGACGCUGUGCAAGCUUCUUCCUGUAAAGAGUGGCAUUUCAUUUGGUUUGCAAGACUCUUUCUGAUUGUGUGAUAUGCAGUGGUUCUAUAAUAUAAAACUGUUUAGUUACUUGGCCUCCUCCAGCUCCUCAGUGCGCUGGAUGGCAUCAGUCUCAUAUUUGGAUCUCCACUGAGCCACCUCACUGUUGGCCUUGGACAUUCCACGCUGCAGCUCAGCCUUGGCCUCCUGCUCCUCCUCAUACUGCUCCCUCAGCAUGUCACAGUCAUGGCGGGCUGACUGCAAACCGUGGGCCAGGGCGUUCUUGGCCUUAAAGUCAAAGCAAAGGUUAGAAUGAAUGAAUAGAUGUAUUAGAGAAUGCUGUGGAAUUAAGAGUACAGUUCAUGUUUAUGCCUUCCAGGCCCUUGUUGGUUAAUUAAGCUGUGAAAUACUGUUAUGUUUGAUCAAUCUGUUACCUUGACCUCCUCUUCAAUGUGCCUCUUGAGCUCCUCAAUCUGCUGUGUGUAGGCUUGUUUGCUUCUUGUCAGCUGGGAAACAAGAGCUUCCUUCUCCUCUAACUGGCGACUCAAUUCACCUGAGUAAACCAAAGUAUUGUGAAUCUCCAUCAUAUUUUUAUUUCACAUUUUGAAAUCAAAAAUCUAUAUUUGAUAUAUGUACCAUUUUCAGUAUGAAGUCUUGCUUUGUGUGCGCUUGUGUCAUUCAGCUGGCGUAAAUGCUCAUCACUCUUGGUUUUCAGUUCACUCAGUUGAUCUUCAAGGGUACGGCACAUUUUCUCAAGGUUGCCCUGUUAGAAAAAAGUUUCUUUAGAACCCAUCAUGUUUGGUGAAAGAAACCAGACACGUCUGAAGUUAUGUGCGUAGACCUUCUCUUUACCUUUGAUUUAGCAACAGACUCCAUGUUACUGGAGAGGUCAUCAAUCUCCAUUUUGUAUUCACUCUUCUCCUUCUCCAGUUUCUGCUUGACGCGCUGAAGAUUGUCGAUUUGUUCUCCCAGCUCUGCCACGCUGUCGGCCUGCUUCUUGCGGAGGGCGGCAGCGGUGGCUUCAUGUUGCAGGGUGGACUCUUCAAGAUCACGGCGCAGCUUCUGGAACUCAGCUUCACGCUUCUUGUUCAUCUCAAUCUGAGCAGAUGUGGCACCACCUGCUUCUUCUAGCCUCUCACUGAUCUCCUCAAGUUCCCUGGAGAGAUCAGCCCUCUGCUUCUCAACCUUGGCCCGAGCAGCACGCUCAGCCUCGAUUUCUUCCUCCAACUCCUCAAUACGAGCCUGUGGCACACAAUAGAAAAACGGUUUAGGAUAUACAUGGAACUUUUUUCAAGUGCAAUACAUGGAAAUUGGAGGCUUUGACAGAGUACCUGGAGUUCUUUAAUCUUUUUCUGAAGCUGAGCACCCAAAGUUUGUUCAUCCUCAAUCUUGCUGAGAAGCUGGCUCGUCUCAAAGUCCUUCCUGUGGAGAGAACACCAUGAAAAAAUAAGAAUCUUUAUCAUUACAUUUUCAGUCUUUGUAUUGAUUUGAAUCCUCCCUUACUUCUUGAUCUUUUCAUCUGACUGCUGCUUGUCAUUCUCCAGAUCCAUUAUGGAUUCCUGCGCCAGUUUCAGAUCACCUUCAAGCUUUCUCUUGGCUCUCUCAAGGUCCAUGCGAAGCUUCUUCUCCUGUUCCAGAGAUCCUUCCAGCUAUUGUAGGGAAUACAGGUAAAAGAAAUCUGUUAAAAGCCAUAGGCAUUAUACAUAAUCUUCUUCUAGCCACUAUAUAAUAUUUUGGUUCUGAUUUUGGCUUCUGUUCCCAAGGUUUUACCUUUUGGUCAAGAGCCCUCAUGUUUUACUCACAUCAUCCACUUGCUGCUCAAGCUUGGUCUUUGCUUUGGUCAGAGUGUUGACUUUGUCCUCCUCUGCCUGGAGAUCAUCCAGGGUCUGCUGGUGUGCCUCUUGGAGGGCCUUCUUCUCUUUUGUCAACUUGGCAAUAGUCUCAUCCUGAGAGGCCAUCUCUUCAGUCAGGUUCUUCACCUAAAGGGAUUCAUGUCACAGCAUGUUAGGGAGAUGUCACAUCCCUGCAAAAACACAAACACACAAGCACUAUAUUGAUGAAGUGUGAACCUUGUUUUCUGUGGCAUGUUUCUCCUUCUCCACUUUGGCCAAGGUGAGCUCUAAGUCAUCAAUGUCUUUCUUCAGCUCAGAGCAUUCAUCCUCCAGUUUCCUCUUCUUGGCCGUGAGCUCAGCAUUGCUUUCCUCCUCAUCCUCCAGUCUCUCAUUUGUCUCUUUGAGUUUUGCUUCAAACUGGAUCUUCGCUUUGAUGAGUCCCUCACAUCUUUCCUCAGCAUCAGCAAGGCCCUCACUUUCCUUGAAUAAAUUCAACGUUUCAUUAAAUUCUUAAGCAGGAAGCAAUUUGUGAUAACUGUUAUGACAAUAGGUGAAUUACAUGGCCAACUUACAGAUGCGACAGCCAACUGCAGGUCAUUCUUUUCCUGCAGCAGAGAGACCAUUUUCUCCUCAAGCUCCUUCUUCUUGGCUAAUGCCUUUGCCAGAUCCUCUUUGCACUUAGUGAACUCUUCCUUCAUGUUGGACAUCUCCUUCUCAGCUUCAGCACUCUUGAGAAGUGGCUUGAUCUUGAAGUAGAGCUUCAUCCAUGGCCAGUGUUUCACAUUCAUGAAUGAGCGGAUGUUGUAUUGGAUGGAGUAAAUGGACUCUCUGUGUAAAACAUGGUCAAAGUAUUUCAGAAAAAUACUGCAGAAUUGUUUACUUGAAAUCAAGUAAUUGUUUGAUAAUUUAUGCAAAUAACAAAUAGCUAAUUGAAUGCAGAUACUGUUAUGUUUCAAUAUUAACAGAAAGUCAUGUAGUAGUACACACAAAUAUAAGAAAAGUAUUUUUACAUGAUGAACCCCCUGAAAUGGGUUCAAUGUUUUCUGCACCAUAACAUGUACCUCCUUUCCAUCAUUUUGACGAACUCUCUUCUCAUGAGGUAGCCACGGCAGAGGGCCUGAGUCAUGGUCACCAGCGUUGCCAGUUUCUCAUCACGCAUCUCCUCCAGGGUACCCAGCAGGCCAGCUUUGAAGAACACCUGGAGGAAAUCAUGUAAAUAUUCAGUGAAUAAUAAGGCAUAACGUACAUCAUAUGAUGAAGGAACAAGCUCAUAAAUUAACAGUAUAUACUAUGUGUGUGUGUGUAUGUGUGUGUGUGUGAGAUAUAAACUACAACUUGCCAUGCAUAUUCAAGAAUGUAUAACACCACAGGGUGUACUGUAUAUGCUCAGGCAUGGAGCAGUUGUUUUCUCUCAUACCAUCGCAAGGACAAGACUGAAACUAUUAUGCCUAACUCCCACUGCCACUUUUACUAUAUAUAAUUCCUCUGGUAAGGAUCAAUUACAUUUUAAGCUUAAGAACUCAUUAUCAUUUACAGAAAUGCAAUUCAGGCCCUUCAAUUAUCUUACCUUGGUGUGGCCAAACUUGUACUGAGUGUGGUCCACAUCAAUGGACCCCAGGAGCUUCUCAGAAGCUUUCUUGUUGUCAAUGAACUGUCCCUCAGGGAUGACACUGGCAUUCAAUACCUUGUAUCUAAAAGAAAAUACUGCCAUUUUUAACUGGAGACAUUGCUAUGAAGUGUGCUUGAUUGAUAGUCAGUCAUGGAUUAUUGUGGACAAUAACUACAUUACAUUAUAGCAACACUGUGGUCUAUAUACUCAUGUAUUAAAGAGGUGCAUAAGAUACCUCUGCUUGAAGUCACCAUAGAUGAUUCUGCUGGGGAAGCCCUUUCUGCAGAUUCUGAUGCCUUCCAGCACACCAUUACACCUCAGCUGGUGGAUAACCAAGAAGUUCUCCAUCAGACCUAGAAAACAAGAAAAUAUGUUUAUAAUUCAUAAAUCGUCAUAAUAUAUACAAUAAUAAUGUAAAUGCAAGAUACUGUGUCUAACAACACUACAGUGUAGUUACUGCUACAGGGAUUUCUACUAUUCUGUUUCUUGGAUUCCUUUUUGACAAGUUGAGCUUAUGGGGCCUUAAGUACAGUCCUUACCAGGUGUCUUUGAUUCAUUAGGAAUCAAGCAACGCACAAAGUGAGGAUGUGUGCUCCUCAGGUUGGUCAUCAGCUUGCCCAAGUUCUCCUGUGAGAGGGGAGGAGGCAAAAUAUAGAAAUGGGAAGCUGUACAACGCUUUGUUACAUUAAUUCAAUCAAUCUACUAUGUAAACAUCACAUGUACACAUUAUGGUAAUAUUACACAGACACAGAGAUAUCACUGCCAACUAUUCUUGGAUAACAGUAUAGUUUCACUUGCAUUCCUCCCUUACCCUGAAGAGAGCAGACACAGUCUGGAAGGAGCCACCCUUCUUCUUGCCAGCCUUUUUGCCCUUUGUAUCUGUUUGUACAUGACAAAUGAAACAGUUGGUUUUAAUACUAUUUUGAAGAAAAAUCAAGAAAAGUUCAGAAAAAUAACUUUUAGUUACCUGCUUGGAAACAGUUUUUCAUAAGGAACUAUGAUUUUUAUUUUCGCAUUUCCUAUGAAAUUGAGUGACUUUGCCAUUUUUUGAGAGAUUUAUUCUGAUCAACCUUUUUUUUUAGAUUGUGAUUUAAAAAUGAAGACUAUUUUAGUCAAAUCAAUCAGCACAGCCAUACCAUCAGAUCCUGCGUGGGUUGCAUACAGGAGACACAGCAGUUUGACUGAAGACUUCUGGUACAGCUGGACCACAGAGUCGUUCAGAGGGUCCUUGUUCUUGUCCAGCCAGCCGCUGAUGUUGUAGUCCACAGUGCCAGCAUAGUGCACCAGGGAGAAGUGGGCCUCAGCCUUUCCUUUGGCAGGUUUGGGCUUCUGGAACGCGUUGUUUUUGCCCAGAUGUUGGUCAUAGAGCUUGCUCUUGAAGGUUGUGUCAGAAGCCUUGGGGAACAUGCACUCCUCUUCAAGGAUGGAGAAGAUGCCCAUUGGCUGGUGAAGGCAGAAUUAUUUCCAUGAGGAGACAUUAGGGGUAAUGUUGUUGGACAUGUUGAUAAUGAAGGGCAUCUUACAUACCUUCUCAAUAAGCUCAAUGCAGGCAGCCAAGUCCAUACCGAAAUCAAUGAACUCCCAAUCAAUUCCCUCUUUCUUGUACUCUUCUUGUUCCAGCACAAACAUGUGGUGGUUGAAAAACUGUUGCAGUUUCUCAUUGGUGAAGUUGAUACACAGCUGCUCCAAGCUGUUGAACUACAUUUUUCAGACAAGAGACUAAAUAUUAAUAAAAAUGGACUGGAUUCAAACAGAAACAGGUAAAUGUUCCAAGUAUAUAUGUUUAAAAAAAAAAAGAGACAAUAAUAAUUAUUGGGAAGAUUAUCUUACGUCAAAGAUUUCAAAUCCAGCAAUAUCCAGGACACCAAUGAAGAACUGUCUUGGCUGCUUUGUGUCCAACAUCUCAUUGAUACGGAUGACCAUCCACAAGAACAUUUUCUCAUAGACAGAUUUGCACAGAGCAGAAACAGAAUUGUUGACCUAAAGACAAAUAGGAGAAAUAUGAAUAAAAUAUAUUACAAAUAUAUUCCUAAUAUAAGUAUAGUUACAUACAUUUCUUUUGAACAACUGAAUGGUUCAUAUCAAUACACAUAUUACUGUCGAUUUGUCAUUGUGACAUGAAACUUUGACAUACGGUACCUUACUGUGAGCAGCAAUUAAAAUUGCCUAACAUUACCUGUGGAACAGUCUGCCCCUUGGUCACAAACUCAUUUCCGACCUUCACUCUGGGGUAGCACAGAGCUUUCAGCACAUCAGCUGAGUUCAGGCCCAUGAGGUAAGCAAUCUUAUCAGCCACUGAAAUUAAAAGAAAAUAUUCAUUUUUCAUUGAUUGUUAUUUUAGUUGUACACAUGCAGCAGUAUGUAUAUUGCAUUCACAAAUAUGAAGAUUUUUCAUACUAAAACAAACGAAACUGUCCGCAAUACAGUCACCUCUGCAGUAUGCCUGCGAUGCCCAUGAGAUUUGAAAUAUGGUGUUAUUUGUGCUAUAGGUUUGUUGGAAUGUGGUAAUAUCGCACCCAAUAAACCGUUUUGCAACAUUGCAACAUUAUGCAACAUGGAGAGUAAUAACAAUGUUAAAUUUGAAUGAGGAUUGAAAAUCUGGUCAUUUGGAAUUAGCAAAACCUCUUGAGCUAAUUCAGUUAUUGUGAAAAAAUAUCACUACUGCGUUGGAAAUUGAUUGUAUUGGAAAUGCCCAAAGUUAGCGAAUGUGCUCCAUUAAAUUAGACUGAUAAUUGUGGCUAGGAAUUCGCACUCAUUCUUUGUGAUAGUGGUCUCUGUGUCAUUGGAUUAUUUCUGAAGGGCUGUGACCUUAAAACAUCUACUAUUUCAGUCUAAAAGUUACCCUCAGUGCCAUCAGGUUCAGCCUGCUCCUCGCGCUGUUUUUGCUUAAACUUCAUGUUCCCGUGAUGCAAACAAGCACCAGUCAGCUUGUAGAUGCCCAACUUCUCAUCAGCAUUGAAGCCCAAGAUAUCAAUGGCAGUCUAUGAAUCAACAAAAAAGUUUCAUGAGCUAAUAUAAAAUACCCAACUACAUAUACAUUUUACAGUUUAAAUACUCCAGUGUCCAUUAUAUACUUUUUUCAGAAGAAUCCCCCCCAACAACUUACAUCUGUGGCAAUGAACUCCUCCACGUCAUUAAUACUUUUGACAGUGAUUUCACCUUGGCUGAUCAUGGGGUAAUCAUAUGGGUUGGUGGUAAUGAGAAGACCCUCUGUAAUAAACAAGAAUCAGUUAUACUGAAAAUUGCAAGUGUUAUUCACAGAAUUAAUCUGUUGCAGAAUGACAGAUUUCACACCUAGCAGUUCAGGUUUGUGGCCUGUCAUAAGCUGGUAGAAGAUGUGGUAGCUGCGCUCAGCUGACAGCUGGAAUGUUACUCUUGACUUUUCCAGCAAAUCUGUGGGAAGAAAAUUGCAUUUUCAUAAAAAGGUUUUUACAGUAGAAUCCCUUGCUAAAUUGAUACAGUGUGUCAGGUAGAGACUUACAGGUUUCAAUAUCAGCAGAAGACAGUUUUCCUGUUGUCCCAAAGUGGAUUCUGAUGAACUUUCCCUGAAAAAUUAACAAAAUGAAAUUUUGGGAUUAAAUACCGCAUUAUUUCAGCACUGUUAAUGUAAGGAAGUUUGAACUUUAAAUAUAUCUUCAAACUUACAAAACGGGAGGAGUUGUCAUUCCUCACGGUCUUGGCAUUACCAUAAGCCUCCAGCAGGGGGUUUGCUGCAAUGAUUUGAUCCUCCAGUGAUCCCUACAGGAGACACCAGACACUUCAGAAAUGUGCUACAACAGUUAAUGUUCCCAAGAUAUUUGCACAUUUCUAGAGACUCCCUCUGACCUGCAUUUUGCUAGCAGAUUGCUCAGCUUUCUUUCCUCCAGCCACUGCAACUGUCGCAAAGUACUGGAUGACACGUUUUGUGUUCACAGUCUUCCCUGCACCGGAUUCUCCACUGUGGGUGAAAACAGAAGGCAUAAUGCAUAUUACCACACAGUGCUUUAAACAUACGGAGGCUAUACUCUGGACUGUACAUGCUAUUUGCCUCAAAGCAGCAGUAACACAUUGAGAUGAAAUUAUAAUUAAAAUAUAUCUAGAAUUUACAUUUUAUUAGAAAUCCUCUUAAAUGUCAUGUUUACAUUACAGAUGAAGCAUUUGUUUCAGCCAUUUUUCAUUUAAAAAAGGUUUGAUACGUACGUAAUCAGGACUGACUGGUUCUCACGAUCUGCAAGAAAAAAAAUAAAAAAUUUACCUCAGGGAAUGAAAGGAAGGGCAUGCACAUAAAAUCCUAAAAUUACUAAUUCAUUUACUGGCCUGAAGCAGACCUUCAAUGAUAAUAAUAAUUUGUUAUUUAGCUGUUUAUUAGAUUACAUUUAUUAGUUAAUGCAAGAUGUAUUCGUUAAUUAGACUAAGCAGGGGACAAUCUCCCCUGGAGCAAUGCAGGGUUAAGGGCAUUGCUGAACAGCUAUGGCCUAACAGCUGCGCGGAUCAUAUCGUGGCUACACCGGGGUUUCCUCCACUGUUCUGGGUCCCUGUCAUGUACCUUAGCCACGAGGCUAUAGGCUGCCGCCAAUUUAACCUUAUUCUGUUGAGUUCAUCGUAGUAUUAUAAUAUGUUGCUCAAACAACCCUCCUACAUAAGUACGUACCAGUGAGCAUGAACUGAUAGGCAUUGUCAGAGAUGGAGAAGAUGUGGGGUGGGGCCUCAAUUCUCUUUUUGCCUCUAUAUGCUGACACAACAACAGCAUCGUACACUGGGAGCCACUUGUAGGGAUUCACAGUGACGCAGAACAGCCCAGAGUAGGUCUGAAACAGUGACAGUAGAUACAUUAUGUGCAGGAACACAUUCAUGUCUUUGCAUUUUGUAAAUGUAUUAAAGGGUUUUAUAGGAAAACUCACGUAGAUCAUCCAUGCUGCAUAGCGCUCUUUGAGGUUAUACAGCACACAGGGCUCAUUGAGGUGGGUCAUCAUGGCCAUGUCCUCAAUCUUGUCGUAUUUGGGAGGAUUCAUUGGGUGGAUGUCAUCCUCCUUGACUGUUAUUUUCUGUGAAAUACAGUAACCACAGCAAUGUUUAAGUUCCUGGUACAAAAUGACUUCCAGCCAUUUAUUCUUAUUCUUAUAUAUUUUAUCGUAGCAGUACAUUGGAAUUACAGACUAAUAUAUCAAAUGGGGGGCUCUGAAUACAGAAGAAGCAUGCACAAUUACACCCCUUCAAAGCCUAUUUAUUUAAUUGCUGAUGCAAAAGUGCAGUUAAUCUGUCAAAAAACCAAAAAAAAAAACAUUUAGCAAAGGAGUAUGUCAAUUGCUAGAUACAGUACUGCAACAAUUAUUGUCAACAGUCAUUUGGGGGCAAAUGGGGAUAUCAAAACACAGUUUGCCUUCAAAGCUGAACAAUACAGGCCACUAAAAAGAGCAGAGUCAGCUGUGACCAAUAGAAGGCACACAGGUGCCCCUUGACCCUUUCAAAGUCAUAAAAUAUUAUUAUUAUAUAACCACUAAUAACAAUUAGUAUUAUUAGCUGCACGUACUUGAUGCCCUUCCAGAGUUUCAACGGUGGCUUUGCCCCCCUCUCUGCUAACGAGUUUCCCCUUGAGGUACAUCUCCUUGGGCUCAGCCACAAAGUAGGCUGUUUUAGCAUCAAAGGGUGUGUUCUGGGCCUCAAUUCUCUCCUUCUCAGGCUUCCGGAGGAAAACGGAUGCUGGCCCGAAGGCCGACAUCUCUGCAUCCGUACUCAUGAUGGCACUUCACUGAUGAAGAAAGUAAAAAGCGAUUAGCAAUCAUAUUAAAAAAAAAAAACAGUACUGGUGAUCAUAUUCUUGCAUGUCGAUGUUUCUACCAUCGGUUUUAAAAGUUCAGCUCUUACACUGACACAAAAAAAAAAAUGAAAUAGAAUUAUGCACACUUGAAAUUCAGAUAUUUUUAAACACCAAUGUGACAACACUGGAGCCUUUGAAAAUAGCUUGAAAGAUUUUAACAGUAAUGUUUAACAUUUCAAUAAAAAUAUUCUAAAUGAAUUUCAACUUAGUUUCAUUAUUCAUGGUAGAUUCAUAUUUAUAAAAAGAAUAAUAAUAAUAAUAAUAAUAAUAAUAAUAAUAAUAAUAAUUGAAAUAUCCGUGAUCAUUUUCCAAAUCGAAAUAAAAAAACAAUUGCUCAGCAAUAGAAAAUUACCAAGGAAAUAGGUGCCAGUAGUACACAAACACAAAAAGCCUUCAUGUUAAGUCAGAUGUACAUGAUGACCGUGUGUUUUAUCUCCCGACAGGUUUCACUCUAUACAGCUUCUGAAAGUAUGUUGUACAUGCCACAAUCUGUAUUUACCUCUUUUGAUGCCAAGAAAGACAGAUUGUUGACAAUGAUCUUCGGUGCUGAAAAGUAAAAAUAAAGAAAAAAAUAAAUGCGCGCCUGCGUACUCUCCCUACAUCGCCACAACCUGCGUGUUUUCAUUAUGUCUUUGGCAAAAAGCUUUGACCCACGUCCUCUUCCCAUCCUCCACCAUUACACCUUCUCACCAACAUCCGCCCCAGUCAUUAUUACAAGAUUCAUACUUGAAUUGACUAUAGACCUCAGUUACCUAGAAUUAUAUGACUAGUUUUUCAGCACAGUAAGCACAAUUUAUGUAUUAUUUUGAGUUUAGUAAAGACCUGUGGAAACAUGUUAAGUCAUUAUGUGUCAACGUUCAGCCUGGAUACUGAGUGUGAGAACAUGUAAUUAUGUGUUACUGUAUGUGAUAUGUUGAGUCUGAGAAUAUAUGGGUGCUGAGUUUCCUGACAGAACCUGCUUUUUUGCACAAGUGCUGACUUUCUCAUUGCAAUUCUCUGGAUACAAAAUAAAACUUUGCCUACUUUCCAACAAGAUCAGAACCACUUUUCACCAAUUUGUACAGAAGUGUGUGAUUGAUAAUGUGGAAUGGAAAUUAAGACACCUGGGAAAGUCUUGACACUACUGAAUUUACCUUCCAUUGUUGCUAUGUAACUAGCUACGUGGCAUUACACAUUUAACAUUACAAAAAGAAUGUUCCAUUCACAUAUCUUCAGAGCUUAGUAACUUUAUGUCUGAUUAAAUAACACCUCUUUGGCCUUCCAAUGAAACUCACUCACCUGUACUGGGUGCCAGUCAGUCCCUUGGAGAGUUAGAGCUGCAUCUUUUAUAGAGAGACUUGCCUUCAUUCAGCAGAACUAGCAACUCUGUAUAUGGUCAUGCCUAAUGUCUUCAGCAGCAUCGUGUGCCUCUAGCAUCAGCAAUGUUCAUUUUUAUAGUUAAGUCACAGAUAAUUUAAGCAGUAAAUGACACAUGGCGUUGAUUAUAAAAACAAAACAAAACACUGUUAUAAAAAGCUAAAAUACUUCAUACCAUGGAGCAACAAGAAACCCUUAGUGAAGAAAACCUCAUUUCAGUUGGGUAGGGAAAUGGAAUGUUAUGGAUAAAAUAUUUAUGUGUAGGCAGUUUUAUGAUCUGAGAAUUAAUUUUCAAUGUUCGGUUUUCUGAGGUGACACACUUUGAGACAAUUAUAUGGUCACAAAUUUAGAUCCCUGUUUUUAAUGUGUUCUGAUGCUGAACAUGAGCCCAGCUUAGUGGUGAAGCGAUUGCCAAAUGUCACCGGUAUACUGUUGCAGAUCUUCUGCAAGUCUUACAUAUUUACAAAUCCUUGAGUGUAAUUACAUCUCAGUGCAGCUAAGCUGAUUUCAGAAUGUUGAACAUACACACCCAAAAUAAGAUACUUUCCACUGAGACAAAUUAAUGUAUUAUUAUUUAUUUGUGAGUAGCGGGUAAAAUAAAAGUUUUUUUACUGUUUGUUUUAGGGGGAAAUAUAGUAUAUCCACAAUUAAAUACAUGAAAUUUAUUUUCCUUGCCCCUUUUUUCUUUUAUAUUAUUGUAUGAAAAUUACAGAACAAUUGUUGUCUGAGGCUAGUGGCUGCUUACUGCUCGAGUAAAGCAGAGUCAUAUAGCUGAAAAGGGUGGAUUUUGCAGAACUGCCAGAAGAAAUUUGGAGAACAGACUACCUGUAAUUGCAGUAAUUGUAAUUGGAUAUUUUAAGCUGAAUGUAUAGGAAAGUGGAUGCUAAAAUGAACAUUUAUAGAAUGUGAUAGAAAGUGGUUCUACUGUGGAACAAUGAGCAUUACCAGUACUGGCCUAAUUAAGAAACUUUUAUUUUUAUUUUUUAUUUAUUAUUAUUUUGUCUUUUUUUUUUUUCUUAUACAGAAGCAGGGUACAUGCUGGCAUGGCUGUGGACACCCAUUAAUAUAUUAAUAAAAUAAAAAUAAAUGGAAAUGAAACACACCAUGUCUAUCAUGGAUUUUAAAUUGGUUUUUGAUGUUUUGAAGUGGCUCUAAAAAUGAGAUGUUGUUAAAAGUCUCACUUCUCACAAUGGUUAAUUGCUUAUACAAUUUCAGUAUACAAUAUGUUAUGCUUGUACUGUUUCAGUUUCAUGAUUCAAGGUAAAAUGUGUGAACAUUAUAAUUAGCAUCACUAAGCAUUGCCUUUAAUGGUGUCUGAUGGUUUGUUCCAGUGAUGGUUUAUGCAUCAUUGUAAACAAACACAGUAUCUUGAUAUGUACAUUUGUAACAUAUUUCUCUGAAAACUUUCAUUGGAAGUUUAUCAAUAAUUAAGUACAAAACAUGAAACUGUGACGAAUUCUGUUAUAUGGAUUUCUUGCCUCCAAUUGCUUAUGAACAUUAUUGAAAUAGCCUCCAUUAUCCCGACAGAAACUCUAUUUUUCUUCAUUGUUACAGAUGACUGAAGGACCAGUUUCGUUGAAUCUGAAAAUCUAUGAAACUAAGUGUAAGUAGAGCCAUACUGUGUACUUUAUUUCUCUAUAUUUGAUGACAUUGUACACUGCUUUGUUGUAUUAUUAAUCAUAUUAAUAAAUGUGUACUCAUGCGAUCAAUACACAUUCAUAAAUGAAAAACAUAAGUUUUCCACAUACAGUGGGCAACAUAAUUACUGGCACCUUUGCAAAAAAAAAAGAAUAAUUAAUAAACAACAGAUUUACUCUCAUGUUUCAAUGUUUUAUUGAGUAAUGUCUUUUUUUUUGCUGCCAAAAUGAUUGUGGUUUAUUGUGAUUUGAUGUUCCAAGACCACUUUCAGUCCAGAAACAGCUCCAGUUUGCCUCUACAUGCACACAAUUACAUACUAACUCAAGAGAAAUUAAAAUGUGACAUAUUGUCUGAACAAGAACAAAAAGAUAUUGUUUAGUUCUUAAGCCUGAACAAACAAACUGAUGUUACAUAAUUAUUUGUCAAUUAAUGUCCAGACCCAUUCCCAAAUCAAAUUAAGUAAAAUACCAAGAGGUCCACAAACAUACAUACAGUACCAGAAAUGUCAACAGACAGCAAUCAUCUACUGGCAGUGCUUUAACAUGUAAGAGAUGUGUGCUGUUGAAUUGGCAGUAGUGGACAGGCCAUUUAAAUUCCAACAAGCAUGUAAGAAUGUGGGCUCAUAUAUUUAGUAUAUACUGUACUGUGCAAAAGUCUUAGGCACCUGUAUAACAUUCUGUACAGAUAAGAUUCUUUCAAAAAUAAUUCUUAUUAAAAUAAUAAGUUCCUAAAUAAAUGUACUAUACAUUUUACAUUACAUUUUAGUAAUUUGGCAGAAUAGUUAAAAACUGAAUCAAAUAUUUUUUGUGACCACCCUUUGGCAUUAAAACUGCAUCACUUCUCUGAGAUGGCCAACGCUGUCCUGCAGUUCUAUAAGACAAUCAGCAGGGAGGUUGUACCAAGCAUGUUGGAGAACUUGCCACAGUUCUUCUGCAGACUUUGGUUGGCUCCUUGCUUCUGAUCUCAGACAGCCUUGAUCAAGUUUUUUUGUAAAAAGUAGUCAAUUGCUUACAGUAAUAUAUUACUUUUUAAAUUAAAUACAAAA